CCGAGUUUACAACUCCCCAAACCCCUGUGAACAUACCUAUAUGUUGCCAUCGGCGGAUCAGCCCGCGCCCCGUAAAACGGGACGGCCCGCCGCAGGAUCCACAAACUCUGUUUUUAUUGUAACUUCUGAGUAACAAAACAAAUAAAUCAA
Molecule: unclassified non-coding RNA, 150 nt
Filed under: soil metagenome
Description: partial internal transcribed spacer 1
Source: RNAcentral